This 1175-nucleotide long non-coding RNA is filed under the name Setaria italica (foxtail millet). RNAcentral describes it as "long non-coding RNA (SITA_LNC002709)". Lineage: Eukaryota; Viridiplantae; Streptophyta; Magnoliopsida; Poales; Poaceae. The record is from RNAcentral.
GGCCAUUAUAAUUAGUGCAAAACUACACCAACAUUAAUCAAGUGAUUCAAAUUGAACGAGGAAAUAUAAGCAUACCUUGGAGUAUUGCUUAGUCAUGUCCAAAUUUUACCGGCGGGAGUUACCGAUGCUAGUCCUGCCCUCGUCCAUCAAGACGAAUCAGCACCGCGAAAGUGGAAACACGUGCAGGAGAUCGAGAACGGAUCUACGAUAGGGGAUGAAUGGAUGAUGCCGGGAGGCGAGAGACGUCGUCUUCGAUUGUUGACGGCUCAGUGGAAUGCGAGAUGUAACUGUGGCGCACCACCACCUGACCACCGCCUCUAGUUAUUUGGGAGUAAAUUAAGGGAUGCAUACGUAUACAUGAACUCUGAACGAUCAAAAUAAACAUCUUGGACUAGGUUCUGAAAUGUCAAUCAAAUAAAUUAACUUACCUAGCAGGAAAACCAACUGAACGAGGCUUAUUAGUUUCUUCUUCCAAAAAAUAACUUUUAUUUUAAGCAAAACACAAAAUUUCCUGUUUUGAAUUUGGUCUUUGGGGAGUUUGCACCUUGCUGCAAAACCGACUGCAGGUGUGGCCCGAUUCUUAGGCCUCGUCUGGAUUGAAGGAAUUUUAAAGGAAUUCCAAAGGAAUGCAAUUCCUAUGUUCCACUGACAUCACAUGCCACUUGGAACGGAGGAAUGAACAUCGUCGUUCCUCCGGAAAGACUCUCCUUUCUUCACAAGAAAACGCAGGAACCAGAACAUCCACUCAAACCUAAAGUUUUCGCGGAUGCCCGAGGCACACGCGUGUGCAAGAGAAAUGGAGCGCGCGAAUAAAUGGAGGUAAGAGAAACCAGAAGAGAUUGGAUCCCGCUGGCUGGUUGCCGUCAGCCCCAAAUCGAUAUGUAGAGCUACAAAGACACCUCACCAUCAAGCGCCCUUUGUCUCACCUCUACACCAACCAAGUGCCUGCUCAAGAGCGGGCGUCGAGCUUUCCGAUGGGAAAACGUUGAGGGUCUGCUCUAAGUGCGUGGGAGUCAAAUGCAGAGGCUACACUUGACGCGCUUGAGAUGAGCGAAAGGCCAUGAAUCUAGAGCUGGAGGAAUGGACAAAGCUUGCGGAAGAGAUAAGGUUACCUGAGAAAUUCCUUUAUUUUGUUUUCCUUUUCUAUGUUUCCGUUCUUCCAUUCCAAAUAGACC